RNAcentral lists this ribosomal RNA (468 nucleotides) under uncultured bacterium. RNAcentral's name for it is "partial 16S ribosomal RNA". It matches the Rfam family "Bacterial small subunit ribosomal RNA", at positions 28 to 507 of the family's 1533-position model. The record is from RNAcentral.
GACGAACGCUGGCGGCGUGCUUAACACAUGCAAGUCGAACGGAAAGGCCCUGCUUUUGUGGGGUGCUCGAGUGGCGAACGGGUGAGUAACACGUGAGUAACCUGCCCUUUACUUUGGGAUAACUUCAGGAAACUGGGGCUAAUACCGGAUAGGAGCUCCUGCUGCAUGGUGGGGGUUGGAAAGUUUCGGCGGUUGGGGAUGGACUCGCGGCUUAUCAGCUUGUUGGUGGGGUAGUGGCUUACCAAGGCUUUGACGGGUAGCCGGCCUGGGAGGGUGAACGGCCACAUUGGGACUGAGGUACGGCCCAGACUCCUACGGGAGGCAGCAGUGGGGAAUAUUGCACAAUGGGCGGAAGCCUGAUGCAGCAACGCCGCGUGCGGGAUGACGGCCUUCGGGUUGUAAACCGCUUUCGCCUGUGACGAAGCGUGAGUGACGGUAAUGGGUAAAGAAGCACCGGCUAACUACGUG